Cinara cedri is the source of this 203-nucleotide non-coding RNA. Lineage: Eukaryota; Metazoa; Arthropoda; Insecta; Hemiptera; Aphididae. The record is from the annotation of a GenBank genome assembly.
UUUUCGCAAAAUGAAAAAAAGACGAUACCGGAAGGCUAAACAAAAAUGCUUGAAACGGACGCCCAAGUACGUUUUCCACACGAUAUUUGGAACCUUUAGAAUAGUGUUUCCCAUGAUAGAACAAAUAAUCACGCAGAAACCGCGAAUUUAAAUGUUGAAACAAGAGAACGUCAUACAACUAUUUGGGCUUUUAUUAUUUGUUU